CGGCGGCGGUUCCGUCCUUCCCCCCGAAGUCAGCGGCGUUCCCGGAAACUCUUAACAUUUCCACGGUAGAAACAAACGAUCCUUUCACGGCGGCGGGCAUCCUGGCGGCUGCGUGGCGCGUCUCCGGCAACCCGGAGCAACCCCCGCCCUCCCCUUCCGUAACGUUACUAAACGCGCCUCGGCGACGUUUGUCUGACUCCGUCCCGAAGCGGCGAGCCGUCCGCCGGGCUGCGGGGCCGCAUGGAGCGGGCAGCCGGAGCCGGGGGGUGCGGCCGUGUCACCGACGGCUGUCACUGGGGUCCCGCCUCGUUCUAAUCAGUGAGUUUUUGUACGUAGAGAACUUGUUUUCCGCGUUCUUGCGCGGUUGUGCGACCGUCGGUGGUACGGUCCGCUGCGGAUAGCGCUCGUGUUCGUGCUGGGAUAAUUCUUGUUCGCCAGAGGCGGUACAGGUGCCUAAAAGCACUUCCUUCUCGAAGCUCGGUAUUUUUAGUCGUCUUUUAUAGUUGGAAAUGUUCUCAAGGACCAUAAUUUCUCCAGUUUGCACCACGUGUCUGAGAUCCCCCUCAAACUGAAGGGUCCCCAUCUGUUGUGUUACUUCGUGCCAUUUUCCCCCUUUCUAAUACACCUGGGUUUAAUUGCUGCAAGGGACGGUGGGAACAGUUAGGGAAGGACUUGGACUCUUUGCUGAAUUGAUUUCUUAUUCUGGUAAUUUGAAUUUUCCAAGUAACUCCGCUUAAUCUGCAUCCUCACAUUUUGGGGGGGGAAAAAUGAUUCUGAGAUACGAGACUUGAGAAGAUGAGAAGGAGUAGCCUCGUGUUGUGCCAGGGAAGAUUCAGGUUGUGUAUUAGGAAAAGCUUCUCCAAAAGAGCAGUGCUGCAGUGGCACAGCUGCCCAGGGAGGUGGGGGAGUCCGCAUUGCUGGAGGUGUUCCAGAGCCGUGGAGAUGUGCAACGUGGUCAGCAUUGGUGGUCAAUGGAAAGUUGGACUCGAUGAUCUUAGAGGCCUUUUCCAACCUGAAUGAUUCUGUGACAGAGACCGUUCUGGUAAUUAUCCUUUCUUUAUUGCUGGAGGUGGAAGGCUUCUCCAGAACUUCUUGCAGAUGACAGCUGCUUCAUUCUAGUAAGUGACAAGUGAGAAAAAUUUGUUUGGUUGGUGGGACAAACCCUGCCAUGAAACAGAACCAGAUCUUAGAGCAAGCUACAAUAAAGGCAUUUUACUUUCAUCUCAUUUUGGAGCAGUAGACAAUUACCAGCUGUCAGCACUUUUUAAAGCUCUUUUAGAAACUGCCUAGGGCUUAGAGAACUGAUGAGUUCUUAAUUUUUACAAUAGGCCCUGGUAUGGCAACCUCUGUCAUGACGCUUAGGAACGGAUGUUCAGUUUUGAUAGUGGAUCCCAUCUUUUAGGGAGGGCCUGCGUGAGUAUAAGUCUUGUCUUCUGUUCUGCCUGACAGUGGCCAAUGGAGUGCAAGGCUACCCUAAUUUAUCCUAGGAUAAAGGACAGAUCUUUCCUCAAAAAACAAACCAACAAAACCAAACACCAUAAUUCUGAGUCAUAAUGUACCAAGGGAGUGAGAGAUCCCUUGUGACUCAGGAGUCGGUGUGCAAUUUCUAUUCUUUGUUGUCUUGCACAACUGACAGUGGAGAAACUUACGUGGCUGAAGACUUCUAUGAUGUAUCUUCAGAUUUUACAGUGUGCUUAAGAGCAAUGAGGUGAGUUCUGACCAGAUCAUUCAAAUAACAGAGAAGACUUUUUUAAUGUUUGAUCGAAGCCUACUGGAGGAAGGAUGGUAAAAAGAAGUGGGGGCCAAGAAAGCUUAAAAUCAGAUCAAAUAUAGUGAGUUUUGGGUUUUUUUUUCCCCCUAAAAAGAAAAAGCUGAAACUCUCUGGAGACCUUUAUGUAAAGGUAAAAUAGUCUUUUUCUAGCAGUAGGCAAGCAUUAGGAGCUGUUGAUUGUUUGCAGUGUCACUUUGCUUAUGGGAUGUAACCUUACUGAGGUGCAAACAGUGUGCUUGUUAGGAACUGUACAAAUUCCUCUUCUACUGUUAAAAAAAAAAGAAAAGAAAAGAAAAAAAAAAAAGAACAGCCUGUAUCAGAUGAAUGAGAAAUUAUCUGCAGCAGCUGGCCACAGCCACAAAGCAAUGCACAAACCAUCACUUUCCUGUGUUUUGCAGCCAUGUGCUCUCAGCUGAUGCUUUUGAACAGUUCCAGCAUGCAAAGUGUUGAGGAUCAGCAGGCUUAGAAUGCACUGCCUCACAGUUUGAAGGAGUAGUGGGUGUGUACUGCUCACUGGGUGCUUUCAGACAUCUCAUGUCUUCUGUAGAAUGAGUUUGUACCUGGAAAAAAUAGCGUGAUGUUGGUGCUGCAGAGAAAGAGAUGAAGAGCUAAAAGUACAGCACAUCUCCCUGAGGUUGGUGUGUCCUGCUGCCCCUGUAAGUGACGCAACUGAAACUAAGCCACUUCUCCUUUCAUACAGGCUGAAGAGCCAUAUAUAGAUACAUAAAUAUAAAUGUGUAUGUGUAUAUUGUUAAAAUACUGCUGUGGGAAGAACCUCUGUGGAGGAGUUUCCUGGCUGAGCACAUUGUGUGAGCACGUGGACGUGGUGACGCAGGAAGAAAAGGCUGGGACUGGGGGAGGCAGUGGUGCUUUGUGCUGGCAUUCAGUGACUGCAAUCAUAGCACAGAUUUGUCUUCUGUCAGGGGUUCUGCUGUGUUUGACUCUCAUCCCACUAUAAGCAACUCAUGAGUGAUGUGGUUGAUUUUGACUAGGAUUACUAUCCCUGACUUUGAUUAGGAACCACAUAUCUAACCUUCUAUCAUUAUUUCUAGUGGAUGAGGCUUGCUUUGGAUUGCCUUUCUGUGAGAUUAAACACAGAUAUUUUUCUGCCUGAGCCUCUGGAUUGUAUGUUCUCUCUGGGAAAUAUCAUAUGUAUUUUGUGUCCUUUGCAUUCUUCUUGCUUUGUUGAUGCAUUAGUGAGGUAAGUGGGCAGCUCUUCCCAGAAAGCAUUAACAAAGCUGUAAGAAGCAGUAAGUCCAUGUGAAAUGCUAACGAAUAGAGUGGACAAAUCUUAAGUAAUUUGUUGCAACUGAGCCCUGUUCAGUUGGGGUGCAUAGUGGGGAGGAAAGCUGAAAGGAUCCUUUAAAGCCUGCCCCUGCCUUAAUUAAAUAUGCAGUGCAGCAAGGAGCAACAGGGCCAGUACUUUUUCUGUUUGAUCUUCUAUAUAGUCUGUCUUAUAUUAAAUUCCUGUACUGGAAGACAACAAAGGUUAGUAUUUAGAAUUGAUGUGUUCAUUCGUGCAUGGAUGGAUAGCUUUCCCUGGCAGCUUAAGGAAAGAGCUUGGUCACACGUGAUGACCAACGAGCUGCUCCUCACUGUGACAUGGCAGCCCUUUAACUGGCACACUGACCUUGGUUCAGGUAAGACACCACCCUUCCUGUAAUUGAGUACAUGGACAGAGAUUUUUAGCAUUUGGCAGUGCCUUUGGGUGCUGUGCUGCUUGCCUUCUAGGCAAUAAGGACAUAAUGCUGUGAGAUGUUACAGCCUUCCGUCACUGCAAAGUUUUGUUACUGAAUACGCAGGGUAAUUGUUGGUGCCAAAAAUAGAAAAGGAUAUUAUGUCAGAGUGUCUUCUGACUUUUGCCAGGUACUGGGUAAUCUUUGAAUGACAAAAGAAAAACAGACAUCCCCAACACUUAAUUCCUGCCACUCCAAGCACGUUUUUCUCCAUAGGGGAGCUUUCUAAAAUCUUUAUUUUAGAAAAUUUUUGUUGUUAUGCAAAAAGAUGUACGUAGACAAAACAGGUGCAGUGACAUUCAGCCUGCUGUCUGGAUGCAGGAUGAACUUUGCCCUUGCUUUAAAGGGCUGUAUCUUUACAUGCUGAUGUCACUGACUUUUUUUGAGACUUUUCUGGUAAAAGUUUACCCCGGAUGUUUGACUCUUUCCUUGUAGCGUUCUGGUGUCUGACCAGAGAUUUCACCUCCACGAAAGGUAACAUAGGGCUGUGUGGCCCCAAUCUUUGUGCCUGCAUGUACUCAGAGCUGGAGAACAGCCGUUGGGAGAUCUUAAGACUUCAGGGAAACCUUUGUGUCUCAGAGUCUAGGGUUGCAUUUCAUUAGUUAAAGUGAUCUGUGGUACCUCGUGCCAGCUGACAAUCAUCAGAUGUAUUGGCCAUUUUGCUAAUGAAGCAGAGGAUUAUAGAAGGAGCUGUAAUUCAACUGGAGACCUGUAUUUGUCAGAGGGUUGAGGCUUUUGGAGGCUGUUCAGAAUUGCUCCUUCUGCAUCCUGGGAGGGAAAGCCACACCUUUGCACCAGGAGUCCAGGAAUUCUUUCUGACAGAAUUGGAAUGUAGUUAACAAAACAGAUGGUUGGCAUUUUUCUGCCUUAAUUUAAGCAAAUAAUGAAUUUCAGUUGCGAAUCAUUCCCUUGCCUUUUUAUGACUGCUUACCUGCUAUUUGAUGUUAGCACAUCUAUUUUCUCACAGAUUUUACAGGUAGCUUUCUUACACACCCAUUACAUCUAUUAAUAUUGAAAUAAGUGGGAUUUGUUCACCUGAUUGUUUUUCAGCGUGCCGAACCAGCAGUGCCAGGUGUGUGCAAGGCAGUGUGACAGAGUUUGUCCACUGCUUUGUUCACGUGGGAACGAAGUGGGGGCAGCUCAGCGUGCCUGACUUGUGCUUGAAGGGACAGUGUGGGGAGAGUGUUUGGAUGUUAAAACGCUGGUGGAUAACAGCUGUGAACAGCAGCUUAUGGAGUCAUUAGCAAAACUAGAACGUAUCUAUUUGUUUAAACAAGUCUGGUGGUGAUUUGCAUCACCUCUACACCUUACAGAAGCAUCGCUCUGAUUUUAUGUCAGAAUUUCUCUUUUUUGCUUUUGUUCCCCCACUAUCACAAUUAACUGCACGGUGCUAUAGUGAUAGUCCUGGCAGAAUUUGGAUUUACUGUCAGAGUUAGAAUGUUUCCUUCGGCAAAAACUCAUGUUUUUAUGACUGUAGGAUGUCAGGAUGGCAGCAAGCACAUUUCUGGUCAACUAGAGUAUGUCUGCACAUAUCCAGGUGGCAGUGUUCAUUGCAGAGGGAUCUUACGCAUACGUAAGCUUUGGAAGAUUUGAAUAUUUUCUGCUGGCUGAAGCCUGUAAUGUAGAUCAGACCAAUCUUACUCUGCUCUCCUUUCUGUCUCCUGAAGACAUUCCCCACAGACCAUUCAGUUUAGCUGAAGAAGAUUAGUGCUCAGCUUUAUGGAAUAACCUAGUGACAAAUGCAUGUAUUCUAGCUGUCCUAUUAGUACAGAUGGUGCUUUGCUGCAGCACUUAGAAUUUUUGUUUCUAGUAGGAAGUAUUUCUUUGAAUCAUUUGCAAUCUUAGUCAUUACUGAAGUACAGCAGCUCUAUCUGUUGGCUAGAUGUUGGCUGUAUUAAAAUAUUAUCCUUUAAGAUCACCAAGAAGAUGACUCUUCAAUUUACAGAAGAAACAAUGCUCUCAAGACUGCUUAUGAAGGGAGUGGAGAAAGCUAGGAGUAAUUUGGAAUAAUAGAAGGGGUAAUUUAUGGACUUUUAUGAGCUAUUUCUAAAACAGGUGUGUUAGUCCUUAGAACAUUUGAGAAAAACAUGUGACUACAGGAUAAUGCAGACACAGUACGUUUUCUUUUUGCAUGACAGAAUUGAAUGCAUGGGUUGAUGGCUAUAGGCCAUUUGUAUGUUUUGGUUAAAGCUUUCAAACAUUAUUUGUCUCAAGUAUAAACUAAUCUGAUUUGAGACAAUUGUGUCCUGGUACAAGGAAGUACGAAGAGGAAAAAAAUCCGAGAUGAGUUGCUCUUCCCAGAUACUGCUGUAGAUGGUGACCACUUUGAAACCUUUCUUGACAGAGCCAGUGCAUGCUGCCAGAGAAAAGAGUGCGAGGUGCUGAGAGCCUGCAGGUAGGGAGUGUUGGGAGCAUGGGCUUCUGUGCUGCCCUGGCAGGUUGGUGAUGGGGGCACCAUGUGAAGAGGAAAUGUUGCAAGAGAUGCAAAGCUCUGUAUGUGGAAAAGAAAAACCAACAAAAAAUGCUUAGAGAGAGGGAGGCUGUGCUUGAUCUCUCUUUAAACUGAAACCUGAUCAGCUGCCAAGUGUCUUUUCCUGCUCUGAUGUUUCAGUGUCUGGGCAGGGACAUAGGGGAGCUCCCUCCAUCUUAAGCCUUGAAUAUAUUUACCUGGCAGCUGCUAUUACCCAAGCCACUUUCUGUAGCUCAGCUUGCACUAAAAGGAAAAUUCCUCAUAGUAGCUCAGUGUAGGAUGAGAAUGUGAACUAUGCCCAGGCUGAAGUCCAUAGAACUCAGAAGCUGCAGUCAUGUAACUGUUUACUUUUUUCUAGAAGCUUCAUUUAAAUUGUUUGUCAUAGAAUGCACUUUUGCCUGAAAUACUGAUUGUUUGCCAUCAGAAAUAAGUAGCCUCUGUAAGAGGGUCAUGUUGCCACCUGCGUGGAAAUGGGGAAUGGAGGAAAAUCAGUGUUGCUGUGGGUUGAAUGCAGUGUCUGAAAAAAAGUUUGGAACACUGCAAAAGCAGGUUAUUACUUUCAGAAGAAAAGUUUUGUUAUGAAAAAUCUUGCUUUUAAUUUUGGAUAGGCUCGGAAGGAAAAUUAUGGUCUCAUGGUCUAAAAGCAACUGUCAGCCUGGUACCUGGCCUUCAGUUUUGGACAGUGAAUUUCUCUGAUAACCUCUCUAGCACUGAACUCUUGGAAGUGCUCUUUAGGCUGUGCUUUCACUGGCCCCAAACCAAAUGAUCUUAAUUGCAAACCACUUAUCUAAGCUGAUGAUUACUCAACACAAAUGUGACACAGGGCUUGCAGGAGUAAAAAUUCAGGCAGUGUUUAGUGUGGGCUGGAUUGACAUUUGCAGUUUGAUAGAGAAUGGGAAGGUUCAUUUGGGUCAGUAAUGGGUGUUGAUGGGUGUGUGAAGGGACCAUCAUCCCUCCUUUUUCAAGCACCUGCCAGAGAGCAUCAUUGCUCCUGUUGAACAGCAGACAAGUUUACUAGCAAGGCCUAUUUCUGCUGGCAAGUCUGGUGUGACAAACAUACUCACGUGUGUCGGGUUAGGUAAUUUAUGGUGUUGACUUCCUGAUCAUGGAACACUACAGCUGUCAGCCUUGUAGCCUCUCGUGUCUUUCGUGGGCUUGUCCUGGAGGCUGCUAGUGGUGGUAAUACAUGUGCAUCACUUUCCAAGGUUUUAGACUUCAGGAGGCAUGAACGUGUAGGGAACAUAUAGGGAACUAAGCAAGCAUCCAAGGAGUCUUAGAGCUUCAUCCACUUCACUUUCAGUGCAAUGCCCUUUCUUUACUUGUGUGCCAGGAGGAUGUGUUCUUCUAGUAUCUAAGAUAAGCUUGUAUAAGAUCACAUGAAGCUUUAAUUAAAUUGGUUUUGCCUGUAGUUCUGUACUCUCUGCCUUGACUUCAGUGAAACAAAGUUUGGAGAACAGCAGACGUUUGAGUUCCCUGAACUCUCACUACAGAGCUGAGCAGAUGUCAGUCCCAGCACUGAGGCCUGAACAAACACUGCUUGGGGCAGCAGAUGGGCUGCAGCAAAGCAAUGUUGGCUGUGUAUGUCAGCUCCCAGCAGCAGCGUGGGGCAGUGCUGUGGUACCUCAGAGGGUGCUUUUCAUGUACAAUAAGUGCUUGUUGUAUCCCUGUGGUUUGUUCAGCCAUUCUUGUUUUACAGCACUGGUUUUGUAUCCCUGAAGUCAGUGGUAGUGAGAAAAAGUCUGAAUUUACUAGAAGCUUCUGCAGUCAUAUUCAGAAGCUUGUGUGGACUGAUUGGCACUAAGACCUUAAAUUUGUGAAUAUGGAGCUAGCUGUGUAGAACAUGAAUGGUAAUUAGCUGUCUUUUAAAUGCUGGAUUUAUUAAGAUUUACAUGUAGAAUGCACUAUCUCUACUCCCAUGUCCUGGGGAUUCCCAAGCUAUGAAACUUAUUAUAGCUCCUAAGCAGUACAGUAACCAUCUGCCCAUGGAGUGCCUACGUUGCCCAUAAACAUGAGAUCAGGUCAGGAAUAGAGACAUGCUGAUAAGUCCUGGUGUGGGCUGCCAAGGUAAUAGCACUGAGACAUUGAGCCAAGAGAAGCUGGUGUCUGUUCUGCCUCUUACCAGAGCACUGCAUGCACUGGCUGAGGUUCAAAGUGGGGUCUGGCUGGGUGCUGCUAUCAGAUGUGUUUUGCCUUCUCUGGAGACAGAACGUCUUUGCUGCUUCCCAGAGCAGUGCAGUUUGUGGGGUCUUCGUGUGGAGGGAGUCCCCCUAUUGAGCUGGGAAUGUGGAAACACCCGCUUUUACAUUCCUCUGCAACAGGUCUAAAUGUUCAGAAGUCAUCUGGGCUCUGCUGGGACUCUUUGGCAAGGUAAACGUGGGACAGUAGCACAAGGUUACCCAGUUGUGGUAUCUGAGCAUGACGUUGUAAUCAACGCAGGCAGAGAAGGGUACAGGAGAAGGAAUGCAUUUUGCUGCCAAAACCUUUCGUGCAAGAGGUUAGAUCUGGAUGUGUGCCCUUCCUGAGAGUACAUGCAGGUUCCUGCAAUUUGUAGCUGCUGUUGCUGUCACCACCAGUAGUGGCACUCAAAUAAACAAAAUUUGGGAAUGCCAUCCCACGAUAGAAACUUCAAGAGGCUAUUUCUGGAUGGAAUUGAAGCUCCAUGUGAUUCAGUGGACUGUAGCCUUAUUGUCAGAGUAGAAGUGGUUUUAAAUGGAAUUCUUUAUAUAGUAUUGUUGCUAACACAUAAGUGGGCAGUUGGAUUAAACUAUUUUGGAACUGUAUUCCUUUUUGAUACUAUACUAGCACUCUUGUUAAAGAUGUUUCGAAACAAUCUGAAAUAGCUUGGCAAAUGCUGGUUGCGAGACCAUACUCUUUACAUGCUUCAUUGUUUGUUUGUUUGUUUUCUUUAUUUAUUUGUUUUUCUUCCAGGAGAGAGAGAUUUUGACAAAAGGAAGUUAAAGAUACAACUUUAAAAUAUGUGUAUUAAAUACAAAAGUUAUUACCCAGCAAACAAGCAGAGGCAGUAGAGAGUUAGCACUUGGAUCAGUGAAUUUUGGAAUAGUGGAGUUCAGCUUCACAGGAAAAGAGAGUACCUGCAUGUGAUUACUCCUGAGACCUAUCAGCUGUUCCGGUAAUUCUCCAGAAUGUGGAAUUUGUAAAACGACCAGACAAGUGUGUGCUGCCUAUCACAGAUACCAGGAAUCCCAAGAACGUGCAGGAUUUUCUCUCAAAUUCCAGUUGCGUGUGCUUCCCUUUCCAGUUCCUUCUCUAGGGGCUAGUGGGAGCAGGAAAAGAGGUCAGUCUUGAAACACGAAGUCAAAGAGGAGGAAUUUGUGACUGUAGAGCAGAUAAUGCCCAUUGCUCGCUGUGCUUUGCCACUCCCCCACCCCCCACGCCAUUGUGGAAAGUAUGAUUAAAGUCAGCCCCUCCGCCCUGACUGUCUGAACCAUACAUACAUGCACAAAUGCCAGAUUCUCUUCAUUCCAGGCUGCUGACUUCAAGAAGGACUUGCUCUGACAAGCUGGAAAUGAGGACUGGCAGCUUUGUCUGCAGCUCAAAGGCUUUAUCUCUCUUAGACACUCUUCCUAGCAUUUCCCACAAAUACUGUUCUGCUGGUAGGAUCUGUUAUAUACACAGGAUGCCAUCAGGUACUUAUGAAUAAAGUCCUACAUUGUGUAAUUCUCAUUAGAACAGGCAAAGAAAACUUAACAGAGCGAUUGGCACCGGGCCCAUAGGAGAGCUUGCUCUCCCUGUUGCUUCAGCCUCAUUAGCUGGGGAGCGGUAGGGAGAGUCAGCUCAGCUUUUUGAUUCUCUGUCCACCUACCAUAAGGUGCUGUUCUUUCCUCCACAAAACUUAAACAGAGCUGCCUUUGUCUCUCUCUUUUAAUAUUUCCAUCAACAGAUCAUAUUCAGCUUCCAUAGCAUAUCCCUGUGGUCUCUCUUUGCUGUGCUGAACUCCCACCUGGGUAUCCCUUUGCUUCUUCCCCAUUUCAUGUGGGCAGCACAAGUUUUGACUUCUAGGAUCUUCUUACUCCAUCAGCAACUUGUCUGUUUGUUCUUGCCUUUUAGCAUUAUUGCUUCACUGAUGCUUCUGCUCAGUGAAGGAUGCCAGCUGUCUCCACCUGCUAGGCUUUUUUUGCAAGCGCUUUUAAGCUGUCUGCCUAUGCUGCAUAUGCAGGGCUGUUUUUUGCUUAGAAUAUUUAUGUUCCCUGACCUAUCUCAAUCAGCUGAUAAACUUGGACUUCAGUAAAUGCUUUCCUGGAGCGAAACUGAUUUGAGAUAUGUUGUCGUGGCUGUAGACGGACCCUUUACCACUAAAUACAAGAAGGCCAAGCUCUUCUUUAGAUGAUAUUUUGGUUUCAAAAUGAGCAUUAAAGCAAGUAUAUUUUCACAUUUAUAUAACAUUAACACACGAAACUUGAGAUAGCUUUAGUCUUGAUGUUGUAAAAUGUACACCCUGUAAUAAAAAUGUCAUAAAUCAAAUUGGA
Meleagris gallopavo (turkey) is the source of this 10464-nucleotide non-coding RNA. The record is from RefSeq and is a predicted model, not a curated record. NCBI's taxonomy places the organism in Eukaryota, Metazoa, Chordata, Aves, Galliformes, Phasianidae.